UUUUUUUUUUUUUAAAAAAAAAAAAUUAAGUGAUCUCUAACAACACUGCAUUUUCUCAAGAAUGUCCAUUGAAAUUCCUAGAAAAGAAAAAGAGAUCAAAUGAUGCCUGAUUAGUGUGCUCUAUUGGCAUGUAAUGUACUCAUCAGAAGAAUAUGUAGCCAAAUAUGGUACCAUGUCAACUACACAAAAAAGAGGUACAUAAAACUAACAAUAUCACAUGGGACACAGAAAAAAAAAAAGGGGAAAGUCACAUUUCU
RNAcentral lists this unclassified non-coding RNA (257 nucleotides) under Hevea brasiliensis (rubber tree). Lineage: Eukaryota; Viridiplantae; Streptophyta; Magnoliopsida; Malpighiales; Euphorbiaceae. The record is from RNAcentral.